GUCGAACGGUGAAGCCAAGCUUGCUUGGUGGAUCAGUGGCGAACGGGUGAGUAACACGUGAGCAACCUGCCCUGGACUCUGGGAUAAGCGCUGGAAACGGCGUCUAAUACUGGAUAUGAGCCCCUUCCGCAUGGUGGGGGUUGGAAAGAUUUUUUGGUCUGGGAUGGGCUCGCGGCCUAUCAGCUUGUUGGUGAGGUAAUGGCUCACCAAGGCGUCGACGGGUAGCCGGCCUGAGAGGGUGACCGGCCACACUGGGACUGAGACACGGCCCAGACUCCUACGGGAGGCAGCAGUGGGGAAUAUUGCACAAUGGGCGGAAGCCUGAUGCAGCAACGCCGCGUGAGGGAUGACGGCCUUCGGGUUGUAAACCUCUUUUAGCAGGGAAGAAGCGAGAGUGACGGUACCUGCAGAAAAAGCGCCGGCUAACUACGUGCCAGCAGCCGCGGUAAUACGUAGGGCGCAAGCGUUAUCCGGAAUUAUUGGGCGUAAAGAGCUCGUAGGCGGUUUGUCGCGUCUGCUGUGAAAUCCCGAGGCUCAACCUCGGGCCUGCAGUGGGUACGGGCAGACUAGAGUGCGGUAGGGGAGAUUGGAAUUCCUGGUGUAGCGGUGGAAUGCGCAGAUAUCAGGAGGAACACCGAUGGCGAAGGCAGAUCUCUGGGCCGUAACUGACGCUGAGGAGCGAAAGGGUGGGGAGCAAACAGGCUUAGAUACCCUGGUAGUCCACCCCGUAAACGUUGGGAACUAGUUGUGGGGACCAUUCCACGGUUUCCGUGACGCAGCUAACGCAUUAAGUUCCCCGCCUGGGGGAGUACGGCCGCAAGGCUAAAACUCAAAGGAAUUGACGGGGACCCGCACAAGCGGCGGAGCAUGCGGAUUAAUUCGAUGCCAACGCGAAGAACCUUACCAAGGCUUGACAUACACCAGAACACCGUAGAAAUACGGGACUCUUUGGACACUGGUGAACAGGUGGUGCAUGGUUGUCGUCAGCUCGUGUCGUGAGAUGUUGGGUUAAGUCCCGCAACGAGCGCAACCCUCGUUCUAUGUUGCCAGCACGUAAUGGUGGGAACUCAUGGGAUACUGCCGGGGUCAACUCGGAGGAAGGUGGGGAUGACGUCAAAUCAUCAUGCCCCUUAUGUCUUGGGCUUCACGCAUGCUACAAUGGCCGGUACAAAGGGCUGCAAUACCGUGAGGUGGAGCGAAUCCCAAAAAGCCGGUCCCAGUUCGGAUUGAGGUCUGCAACUCGACCUCAUGAAGUCGGAGUCGCUAGUAAUCGCAGAUCAGCAACGCUGCGGUGAAUACGUUCCCGGGUCUUGUACACACCGCCCGUCAAGUCAUGAAAGUCGGUAACACCUGAAGCCGGUGGCCUAACCC
This 1371-nucleotide ribosomal RNA is filed under the name Microbacterium sp. RNAcentral's name for it is "bacterial SSU rRNA". It matches the Rfam family "Bacterial small subunit ribosomal RNA". Lineage: Bacteria; Bacillati; Actinomycetota; Actinomycetes; Micrococcales; Microbacteriaceae. The record is from RNAcentral.